AAAGCUUCACCUAGAAAGCCCCCUCUACAUACUUUCACCUACAAAGCUUCACCAUCAAAGCUUCACCUCGAAAGCUUCAUCUACAAAGCUUCACCAUCAAAGCUUCACCCAAAAAGCUUCACCUAAAAAAUCUUCACCCAAAAAAAACUUCACCUCCAAAAAGCUUCACUCAAACAGCUUCACCUAAAAAAGCUUCACCCACAAAGCUUCACCCAAAAAACUUCACCCGAAAAGCUUCACUUAAAAAAAAAGCUUCACCUACAAAGCUUCACCUAAAAAAGCUUCACCUAGAAAGCUUCACCUACAUAGCUUCACCCAGAAAGCUUCAUCUACAA
Molecule: long non-coding RNA, 335 nt
Filed under: Malus domestica (apple)
Lineage: Eukaryota; Viridiplantae; Streptophyta; Magnoliopsida; Rosales; Rosaceae
Description: long non-coding RNA (MDOM_LNC003515)
Source: RNAcentral